Frieseomelitta varia is the source of this 1082-nucleotide long non-coding RNA. RefSeq lists it as uncharacterized. Lineage: Eukaryota; Metazoa; Arthropoda; Insecta; Hymenoptera; Apidae. The record is from RefSeq and is a predicted model, not a curated record. The transcript is spliced from 3 exons.
AAGGAACUUAUCUUUAUGUCGGUCCUUGAACGUACUUUCUGUACACAUGUAUACCUAACUGCAUAAUACGUGUGUGUACAUCCUCGCAUUCUUCAGCACGGAGAACAUUAUCGUCGUGACGCUCGACUCGUUACUCUCCUUUAUUUUUUCCCUUAUUGCCGUCAGUUAAACAACAGCCGGGGAAUCGCGUACCUUUUAACUUUACCUCCGCGAUUUCGUGGUUUAUGCCUGCUGUUUCUCUUACACGAAUUCCAUCGAGUUGAAGUUAUCGUUAGCUGUAGUUUGGACUUUCUUCGAGAGAGAUUCUUCACGAAAUUUACUUGUUAAUGGAGUUUUUAAUUAGUUUGCACAAUUUUCCUGCGUUGUUGUAGACGUUUAUUAUAAUCAUCUAUGUGCCAAUCGAUCGUACGUGAUGGUCUCACGAACGAGCAGACGUUACAAUUUUAGGUCGUACAUCUGCUUAAAUGAGGAUAUUAUCAAGCAUAAUCAGGGGGCUGUGUUUAAUUGGCAGCAAGGGUUAAUGGUACCAAGUAGAGGUACAGGAUGCUUAAUCCAAGCCACAGAGGGCAAAUAAUUUGCGGCAUCACCUAAGCCAUUGUAAGUUAUGCUGAGCUUCAGGUUAAAUGAAUUCUCCAGCCCAUAGGCAGACGUACAAUGCUUUUCCGGUCAUUAUUAUCCACAUAAGAGAUUACUAGGGGACCAUUACAAAACUGUGCCUGCAAUGCUCCUUCAAAUCCCGCAAUGAUAUAUUAGUAACCCGCGGUAUACUUAUUUGUAAUCGUACAAGUGGAGAACCAGGCAUAACAAGAUCUUCUCUUCUUUUUUUUUUUUUUUUUUAUAGAACUUACUGAACAAUUUUUAUAGAAAUGUAGGUCACUGGGAUUUGAUGCACGAAUAAUAGAUAAAUUAUAGAGAGUGAUAUCAUCCGCAAUUUUGUUUCUGCAUCUGUAAUUCCAAAAAUUUUCUUAAUAGGCAAUUGCGUUUAAAUUUAGUGCGAUAUUUUAUUUUUAUUAUUAAUACAUUUUUUUUUUAGACAAAUCUUAGUUUAGCAAAAUUUCAUGCUAAAAAUUAGAGACUGUAUG